This 1614-nucleotide long non-coding RNA is filed under the name Homo sapiens (human). RNAcentral describes it as "novel transcript". The record is from RNAcentral. Lineage: Eukaryota; Metazoa; Chordata; Mammalia; Primates; Hominidae.
CGAGCCGCGAGCCCCGCGCCGGGCCGGGGAGUCCCCGGCGCCACACGCCCCCACCACCCCCAUCUUAGCGCCCCCCACCCUCUAUGGAGACAUUUCAACCAGGGAGAAGGGAAGUCCUGCCCUUGCCCCUCGCCCCCGCCCUGCUCCUCCAACAGGGGAGACUUCUGUCCAAACCUUGGAAAGAAACGAGAUGCCAGGCCUAGCGCCUUCGGGGAUCCUCUCUGGACAAGGCCACAGGGUGAAAACACCAGUCUGGACCUGGGCGGACUUUUUGGAAAAGCUUCUGGAUGCCACGGACUCCACGACCAACCAACUAGGUUGCUGCUGCUUGCAAACAUCGCCUCCAUUGAAGGAUUCCUGCAGCCACCAGCUCUGGAACUUUCUGGAACCAAACAUUUCCCCAGACUGCCUACAAGGACCAAUUGGCCUCUGGAUGUAGGUGUGGCCUGCAGGGGUCCGGCAGGGCUCCCCAGAGUCAAGUGGACCCAGCCCUUUGGACCCCCUGCCCGGUCCUAUUGACCUCUGCUCUCUCCCUGCAGCACUUCCUGGAGGCGUUUGACCGGGACCUGGGAGGGCAGCUGAGAAGUGCCUGACCAUUCUCAAGGAGCUGCGUGGAUUCCAGACAUCUCUGGGCUGGUCUCUGGACCGGGAUGGGGGACCCAGAGGUGGAGCCGAACACACAAGCAGCACUUGAGGGCUCCGAGGGUGGCAAGGAGAGAAGUUCCUGCUCUGGUACAGCCCUGGGACCUUGAAAGGUGCUUCAACAGAGCGUCCACUCCCAGCGCCUAGCUCUGGGACCUUGAAUGGUGCUUUAACAGAGCGUCUGCUCCCAGCGCCAAGCCCUCAGUGCAGAGGGGGAGACUCAGGCGGCCCUCAGACACAAUUCGCCAAGGUCGCACAGCAAGUCAGGGUGCCGCUAAGACUAGGACCUACAGCUCUGCCUCCUGGCCCAGGCUCCUCAGCACCUGGGCCCCAGAGGACAGCCUGUGGGAGGCCCACAUGGCCACUGCACCAUGAACCAAGGACCUGGUCCGGGUCCACCUCCACCAAGUGCUGGCCGUGUGUCACUGGGGUCACUCCACUCUCUGCAUUAGGUCUCAGUCAUCCAAGACCAUCUUUCAAGGGCCGUCACUCCAAUUAUGAGUCUGGGAUUUUCUGAAAUUGAGCAUUUUGGCCAGGCUGUGGGGUCCCUCUAUGACUGCCUGUAAGACACUGCCAAGGGGACUUUCUUCCUUUCACCAGACUGAAGCUAAGAAGUGCUGGAGACAGCAGUUGCUUUAGCCACAGGCUGUGUAGACCACCUGAGGAUGACCUGGGGGUCUGUUUUGUGCACCUUGGAACCCAUCGGAUCCCUCCAAUGACACAUUUGUCCAGAGCAAGACAAGAUCACACUUUGACAGCCCUCUGUCAAGAUCCUUGCUCCAAAUCUCCAGACUAGCAGCCAGGAGUCUCCAUGCUGUUCUGAAGAAGCAGAUUCCUCACCCACCCUUCAACUCCUUCCCAGGAGGUAAUCCUCCUCCAAAUCUCUGGAAAAGAUACACCUCCUCUUCUCUGAUAAAGGCUGGGGGGUGAUGCCCCUCCCCCAGUUUCCCAAUAAAGCUAUGCAAGACAGGA